RNAcentral lists this ribosomal RNA (251 nucleotides) under uncultured bacterium. Its description in RNAcentral is "partial 16S ribosomal RNA". It matches the Rfam family "Bacterial small subunit ribosomal RNA", at positions 524 to 774 of the family's 1533-position model. The record is from RNAcentral.
UACGUAGGUGGCAAGCGUUGUCCGGAAUUACUGGGUGUAAAGGGAGCGCAGGCGGGUGCGCAAGUUGGAAGUGAAACUCAUGGGCUCAACCCAUGACCUGCUUUCAAAACUGCGGAUCUUGAGUGGUGUAGAGGUAGGCGGAAUUCCCGGUGUAGCGGUGGAAUGCGUAGAUAUCGGGAGGAACACCAGUGGCGAAGGCGGCCUACUGGGCACUAACUGACGCUGAGGCUCGAAAGCAUGGGUAGCAAACA